CCGUUGCCGGCGACCGGCGCACGGGUGAGUAACACGUAUGCAACCUGCCCGUGGCAGGGGGAUAAGCGGGGGAAACCCCGUCUAAUACCGCGUAACGCGGCCUAGGGACAUCCCAAGGCCGCCAAAGGGAGCAAUCCCGGCCACGGAUGGGCAUGCGGCGCAUUAGCUAGUCGGCGGGGUAACGGCCCACCGAGGCGACGAUCAGUAGGGGUUCUGAGAGGAAGGUCCCCCACAUUGGAACUGAGACACGGUCCAAACUCCUACGGAAGGCAGCAG
Molecule: ribosomal RNA, 276 nt
Filed under: uncultured bacterium
Lineage: Bacteria
Description: partial 16S ribosomal RNA
Rfam family: Bacterial small subunit ribosomal RNA
Source: RNAcentral